RNAcentral lists this ribosomal RNA (478 nucleotides) under uncultured soil bacterium. RNAcentral describes it as "bacterial SSU rRNA". It matches the Rfam family "Bacterial small subunit ribosomal RNA", at positions 26 to 518 of the family's 1533-position model. The record is from RNAcentral.
AGGACGAACGCUGGCGGCGUGCUUAACACAUGCAAGUCGAACGAGGUCCACCCACUCGCAAGAGUGGUGAAGACCUAGUGGCGAACGGGUGAGUAACACGUGAGGAACGUGCCCCGGAGACCGGGAUAACAGCGGGAAACCGCUGCUAAUACCGGAUACCUUCCUUUGAUCGCAUGAUCAGUUGAAGAAAUGGAUUCCGCUCCGGGAGCGCCUCGCGGUCUAUCAGCUUGUUGGUGGGGUAACGGCCUACCAAGGCGACGACGGAUAGCUGGUCUGAGAGGACGAUCAGCCACACUGGGACUGAGACACGGCCCAGACUCCUACGGAGGCAGCAGUGGGGAAUCUUGCCCAAUGGGCGAAAGCCUGAGGCAGCAAACGCCGCGUGUGGGAUGAAGGCCCUUGGUUGUAAACCACUUUCAGCAGGACGAAAAUGACGGUACCUGCAGAAGAAGCCCGGCAACUACGUGCCAGCAGCCGC